This 1239-nucleotide long non-coding RNA is filed under the name Scophthalmus maximus (turbot). RNAcentral's name for it is "lncRNA (ENSSMAG00000035938.1)". The record is from RNAcentral. Lineage: Eukaryota; Metazoa; Chordata; Actinopteri; Pleuronectiformes; Scophthalmidae.
AUGAGGAGAACGAUACCUGAGAGAAAGAGGAGCGGAGUCACGUCCAGAGGGAACCAAGUCCUCGAAUACCGGUUUAUUCUGAUGCGAGGAAGUGGACUUAAUGGACUGGCGGACAAUGCGGGUGGAAUGGUUGAUUGCCAGUAGGUUUUCGAGAGGAAAAAGAAAAAGAGGGCUGGAAGCGAGUGACACGGACAAAAAACAAGAGAAGAAAAUGAAGGGUCGCAAUAAGCCGGGGAUGAAAUAGGGAAAGAUGAAAAGGGUUGCAUUGAUUGGAUCACUCAGCAAACCACAGAAAGAGAGCGCGCGUGAGAGGAAAUGGCUCCGAGACCUUAGUUUUAAUAGUAUUCCUUCAGACCGACACCAGCUAAUCAUCGGAGAGAGUGUGUGACUGACUUUGAGUUAUCGGCCCCUUCAUUGUUCCAAAAUUGAUCACACUAUCUCCCAAUCCAUCUCCGCACAUUCAUCUCGGGUGAAAGUGGUUGUCCAGGGCGCAUAAUGGACAGAUUAGGAGGAAAACCUCUGUUCUGGCAACACUCAAUAUUUCCCCAUUAGCGCGGUGGCCUCUGGGAUUAGACCUUUGCCGCACAUUAAAGAUGUCAAUACUGCUAAUAUUGCUUUUGGAGGUCCUCCACCUUCUCAGCGCCACAGCUUGUGUAACCAGAUCUGUUUGAUAGGAUCUAUUGAGCAGCCCUGAGACUGGCAGCAGGAGACCUGUAGGUCUCCUUGUCUAUUUGAGGACGGAAGACUGUGGGAGGAAAGAGUGUUUGUCCUCAGCGUGGCUCUAUUCGGACUAUUGGAGGUCGACGACUCACAAAGCAUCUCAGUGUCUCAUUCAUUACACAAAUGCAUACUGAAAAAUAAUCAAAUUUGCCCUCCGUGGCACAAAAAUGAAUUGUAGAGAACUUUUUUUCCACUCUCCACUUUGCUUAGUCACCGUGACAACUGUUCUCUCUAUGACGUUGUGCGGCCGAGACCUGUGAAGUGCCUUGAGAUAAUAUACUGUACGUUGUGCUUUGGUUCCAUUCGAGUGAAGCUGAAUUUAAUUUAAUUUAACUUCUUUAUGCUGUUCAUAUAGACGGAAAUGAGGCGGUCUGCAUUGAUAGCUACUUACUGCAGCUAACUGAAUGUCACGUUCAACUCAACAUGUAACUAUUUUUGACAUAUAAUCGGGGUUUGAAGGCCCCUUUUACAUUUGCUAUUGAAUUAGCUAUUUGGUUGAGCUGAAGCCCGACACUUACC